UGCUCUCCCGAUCUUCCGACCCACACGAAAGGCGUAACGAUCUGGGCACUGCCUCGGAGAGAGGCUCGGUGAAAUAGACAUGUCUGUGAAGAUGCGGACUACCUGCACCUGGACAGAAAGACCCUAUGAAGCUUUACUGUUCCCUGGGAUUGGCUUUGGGCCUUUCCUGCGCAGCUUAGGUGGAA
Long non-coding RNA from Triticum dicoccoides, 185 nucleotides. RefSeq lists it as uncharacterized. The record is from RefSeq and is a predicted model, not a curated record. NCBI's taxonomy places the organism in Eukaryota, Viridiplantae, Streptophyta, Magnoliopsida, Poales, Poaceae. The transcript is spliced from 3 exons.